Long non-coding RNA from Drosophila santomea, 746 nucleotides. RefSeq lists it as uncharacterized. NCBI's taxonomy places the organism in Eukaryota, Metazoa, Arthropoda, Insecta, Diptera, Drosophilidae. The transcript has 5 exons. The record is from RefSeq and is a predicted model, not a curated record.
GCUGGACAACUGAAAAACCACUGGACAACUGAAAAACCACUGGGCAACUGAAAAACCACUGAGCAACUGAAAAACCACUGAGGUCCUUCCACAGGCUCACGCACACAGGCGCAAGCAACAGGACUCGUUUAUCGGCAGCCCCUCGGUUGGGCGCCACGCCAAACUGGCCCAUCAAUUUUGGUUCUCCUACCCGCCACCGGGCGCUGGCGGCGGUUCCUCAAGAAUCACAAAACUAAGGAAUCAAGUCUAACCAAUACGAAAUACAAACGAAAGAAUACAAAAACUAAGAAAUUACUGAAUCAAAUCGAAAACUUUUACCAAAAACCGAGUUCUUUCCCACUCAGUCUCUCCUCUCUUUCUAUCUGCCUAUAUGUCUAUCUCUUGCUUAAAAGACACACUCAGACACACCGCACUCACCUAACUAACUAACUAACGGUACUAAUUCCAUUCCAAUCGUUCCGGUACGCGUCGCGAUCGCGAUCGCGUAUAUAAUCAAUUGCCAAAUUCGACAAGAAUCGUUACUAAAAUCGAAUCAAAAUCAAAUUCGACACAACAAGAACAACAUCAUCACCACAAAGUACAACAUCAGAAAAAAAACAUCAAAUAACACAUUGAGACAGCAAGAACUCGCAGACCGACGAAGAGAAGCAGCGCGAUCGACAGCGAAACGAGCGCGAGGCGAAAAAGGAAGAGCAGGACGCUAUCAACUACAAGCGCGACAAGGAGCAACGCGAGGCCCGUCUGCU